AGUCUUAUAUUCAAAUAUGAUUUAAAAUUGCAAAUUUUAAGGUAUAAUAGGUAUUAUUAAGGCUU
Molecule: transfer RNA, 65 nt
Filed under: Telchinia lycoa
Lineage: Eukaryota; Metazoa; Arthropoda; Insecta; Lepidoptera; Nymphalidae
Description: Acraea lycoa tRNA-Cys
Source: RNAcentral